RNAcentral lists this ribosomal RNA (253 nucleotides) under uncultured bacterium. RNAcentral's name for it is "partial 16S ribosomal RNA". It matches the Rfam family "Bacterial small subunit ribosomal RNA", at positions 524 to 776 of the family's 1533-position model. The record is from RNAcentral.
UACGGAGGGUGCGAGCGUUAUCCGGAAUUACUGGGUUUAAAGGGUGCGUAGGCGGCCAUGUAAGUCAGGAGUGAAAGUUUGCGGCUCAACCGUAAAAUUGCUUUUGAUACUGCAUGGCUGGAAUCAGGAUGAGGUCAGCGGAAUGUGGCAUGUAGCGGUGAAAUGCAUAGAUAUGCCAUAGAACACCAAUUGCGAAGGCAGCUGGCUAGACCUGUAUUGACGCUGAGGCACGAAAGCGUGGGGAGCGAACGGG